AGAGUUUGAUCAUGGCUCAGAGCGAACGCUGGCGGCAGGCUUAACACAUGCAAGUCGAGCGGGCGUAGCAAUACGUCAGCGGCAGACGGGUGAGUAACGCGUGGGAACGUACCUUUUGGUUCGGAACAACACAGGGAAACUUGUGCUAAUACCGAAUAAGCCCUUACGGGGAAAGAUUUAUCGCCGAAAGAUCGGCCCGCGUCUGAUUAGCUAGUUGGUGAGGUAAUGGCUCACCAAGGCGACGAUCAGUAGCUGGUCUGAGAGGAUGAUCAGCCACAUUGGGACUGAGACACGGCCCAAACUCCUACGGGAGGCAGCAGUGGGGAAUAUUGGACAAUGGGCGCAAGCCUGAUCCAGCCAUGCCGCGUGAGUGAUGAAGGCCCUAGGGUUGUAAAGCUCUUUUGUGCGGGAAGAUAAUGACGGUACCGCAAGAAUAGC
RNAcentral lists this ribosomal RNA (438 nucleotides) under uncultured Afipia sp. RNAcentral's name for it is "bacterial SSU rRNA". It matches the Rfam family "Bacterial small subunit ribosomal RNA", at positions 8 to 491 of the family's 1533-position model. Lineage: Bacteria; Pseudomonadati; Pseudomonadota; Alphaproteobacteria; Hyphomicrobiales; Nitrobacteraceae. The record is from RNAcentral.